RNAcentral lists this non-coding RNA (66 nucleotides) under Pedobacter sp. RNAcentral's name for it is "Fluoride sequence". It matches the Rfam family "Fluoride riboswitch aptamer (crcB RNA motif)". Lineage: Bacteria; Pseudomonadati; Bacteroidota; Sphingobacteriia; Sphingobacteriales; Sphingobacteriaceae. The record is from RNAcentral. RNAcentral also lists the same sequence under 1 other name.
AGACAAAAAGGAAAUGGUGUCUUCCUACUUGAACCGCCUUAAAAAGCUGAUGACGCCUGGUUAUUA